This 493-nucleotide ribosomal RNA is filed under the name uncultured bacterium. RNAcentral describes it as "partial 16S ribosomal RNA". It matches the Rfam family "Bacterial small subunit ribosomal RNA", at positions 28 to 507 of the family's 1533-position model. The record is from RNAcentral.
GACGAACGCUGGCGGUGUGCUUAACACAUGCAAGUGGUGCGACGAACCAGAGCUUGCUCUGGGGCAAAGCCGCGAACGGGUGAGUAACACGUGGGUAAUCUACCCCGAUGACCGGGACAACCCGAGGAGACUCGGGCUAAUACCGGAUGUGGUGCGGAGACAUAAGUCUCUUCACUAAAGGUAGCUUCGGCUUCCGCAUUGGGAGGGGCCCGCGGCCCAUUAGCUUGUUGGUGGGGUCAAGGCCUACCAAGGCAACGAUGGGUAGCUGGUCUGAGAGGACGAUCAGCCACACUGGGACUGAGACACGGCCCAGACUCCUACGGGAGGCAGCAGUGGGGAAUCUUGCGCAAAGCGCGAAAGCGUGACGCAGCAACACCGCGUGAGGGAAGAAGGCCUUAGGGUUGUAAACCUCUUUCAGAUGGGACGAAGGUUCUCCGGUGAAUAGCCGAGAGGAUUGACGGUACCGUCAGAAGAAGCUCCGGCUAACUACGUG